GAUGAACGCUGGCGGCGUGCUUAACACAUGCAAAUCGAACGAGGUCCAACCUUCGGGUGAAGACCGAGUGGCGAACGGGUGAGUAACACGUGGGGAACCUGCCCUUCUCUCUGGGAUAACCUCGGGAAACCGAAGCUAAUACCGGAUACUCCUCGCGGACCGCAUGGUCUGCUCGGGAAAGCUCCGGCGGAGAAGGAUGGCCCCGCGGCCCAUUAGCUUGUUGGUGGGGUAACGGCCCACCAAGGCGACGAUGGGUAGCCGAGCUGAGAGGCUGAUCGGCCACACUGGGACUGAGACACGGCCCAGACUCCUACGGGAGGCAGCAGUGGGGAAUCUUGCGCAAUGGGCGAAAACCUGACGCAGCAACGCCGCGUGCGGGAUGAAGGCUCUCGGGUCGUAAACCGCUUUCAGCAGGGAUGAAAAUGACAGUACCUGCAGAAGAAGCCCCGGCUAAAUACGUGCCAGCAGCCGCGGUAAUACGUAUGGGGCAAGCGUUAUCCGGAUUCAUUGGGCGUAAAGCGCGCGUAGGCGGCUUGUUAAGUCAGGCGUGAAAUCCGGGGGCUCAACCCGCGGCUUGCGUCUGAAACUGGCAGGCUUGAGUCUGGUAGAGGAAAGUGGAAUUCCUGGUGUAGCGGUGAAAUGCGCAGACAUCAGGAGGAACACCAGUGGCGAAGGCGGCUUUCUGGGCCACGGCUGACGCUGAGGCGCGAAAGCUAGGGGAGCGAACA
This 728-nucleotide ribosomal RNA is filed under the name actinobacterium enrichment culture. RNAcentral describes it as "bacterial SSU rRNA". It matches the Rfam family "Bacterial small subunit ribosomal RNA", at positions 28 to 774 of the family's 1533-position model. The record is from RNAcentral. Lineage: Bacteria; Bacillati; Actinomycetota; Actinomycetes.